UAUGUUUUUCUUUAUAGUUUAGAUGACUUUAGUAUUAAUCUUCAAUACAGCACAUUUAAAAAUAAACCUCAGUAAACAUCUCCUCGUGGCUGUAUAAGAGAAUAAAUCAGUGUAAUUGGUACUGAUUAUAAACACCAUGGAAAAUAUGGCUAGUUAAAUAAGUCGCUGUUUCGCGAAUCUGCGUUUGUCCGCUCUGUGUUGCCGUACAUGACCUUGCUGUCCUGGUAUGGCAGCGCUGUGGGUAGGAGCAGCAGCGCUGAUUUUAAUACGUUUUUCUCUGUAUUUAUAGUAAUAAAUAAUAUUCUGUAGUCCUGCUGGUGGUGUAGUCAGUCAGUCGCCUGUCUCCGCUGUGUGUGAGAGUCAGACCCGCGCGCUCUGAUCCUCCUGAGACUGCUUAAUCUCCCGGAACUCGCAGCAGACUUUGGUGGAAACUAGCAAUAAUUUUCGAAUGGACUGAAAAGCUUUCUUUAGACUUGCCAUCAUGCUUCCAAGGCGGAUACCAUUCAACCAGAUCGCUUUUGCAACUCUGCUCGGGGUAGGAGGGGGCAUCUAUAUCUACAAACCCAUGUUUGAACUUCCACGAAGGUCCAGAAGCACACCAAGCCAACAGGACAUCAAAACUGAAGCAGACAGUAAAGGGACUGAUCCAGGCGUACAUGAAAAUACUGCCAAACCAGCCGCAAGUGCAACAAAUACUGGAGCAACACCAGAGGCUUCUGCAGCCAAAUGAAGCUUGACAGUGAUUCUCAAAUCAAUAUGUUCAUGCAUCUGUGUGCCUUUGCAGUUUGUCUGUGUUUAACUAAAUAAAAAGCCAUGUACAUAUUCUAAAAAUAUGUAUAUAUAUUGAU
Long non-coding RNA from Astyanax mexicanus (Mexican tetra), 848 nucleotides. RefSeq lists it as uncharacterized. The transcript is spliced from 2 exons. Lineage: Eukaryota; Metazoa; Chordata; Actinopteri; Characiformes; Acestrorhamphidae. The record is from RefSeq and is a predicted model, not a curated record.